Molecule: non-coding RNA, 71 nt
Organism: Podila verticillata NRRL 6337
Lineage: Eukaryota; Fungi; Mortierellomycota; Mortierellomycetes; Mortierellales; Mortierellaceae
Source: the annotation of a GenBank genome assembly
AAGACAAUAGCUUAACGUAAAGCUUUCUGCUCAUAACGGACACGAUGGAAGUUCGACUCUUCCUUGUCUUA